CGAACGCUGGCGGCGUGCUUAACACAUGCAAGUCGAACGAUGAAGCCUUUCGGGGUGGAUUAGUGGCGAACGGGUGAGUAACACGUGGGCAAUCUGCCCUUCACUCUGGGACAAGCCCUGGAAACGGGGUCUAAUACCGGAUAACACUCUGUCCCGCAUGGGACGGGGUUAAAAGCUCCGGCGGUGAAGGAUGAGCCCGCGGCCUAUCAGCUUGUUGGUGGGGUAAUGGCCUACCAAGGCGACGACGGGUAGCCGGCCUGAGAGGGCGACCGGCCACACUGGGACUGAGACACGGCCCAGACUCCUACGGGAGGCAGCAGUGGGGAAUAUUGCACAAUGGGCGAAAGCCUGAUGCAGCGACGCCGCGUGAGGGAUGACGGCCUUCGGGUUGUAAACCUCUUUCAGCAGGGAAGAAGCGAAAGUGACGGUACCUGCAGAAGAAGCGCCGGCUAACUACGUGCCAGCAGCCGCGGUAAUACGUAGGGCGCAAGCGUUGUCCGGAAUUAUUGGGCGUAAAGAGCUCGUAGGCGGCUUGUCACGUCGGAUGUGAAAGCCCGGGGCUUAACCCCGGGUCUGCAUUCGAUACGGGCUAGCUAGAGU
RNAcentral lists this ribosomal RNA (600 nucleotides) under Streptomyces sp. R3. RNAcentral describes it as "bacterial SSU rRNA". It matches the Rfam family "Bacterial small subunit ribosomal RNA", at positions 30 to 647 of the family's 1533-position model. RNAcentral also lists the same sequence under 1 other name. The record is from RNAcentral. Lineage: Bacteria; Bacillati; Actinomycetota; Actinomycetes; Kitasatosporales; Streptomycetaceae.